This 649-nucleotide long non-coding RNA is filed under the name Homo sapiens (human). Its description in RNAcentral is "PPP1R3B divergent transcript". Lineage: Eukaryota; Metazoa; Chordata; Mammalia; Primates; Hominidae. The record is from RNAcentral.
GAGAGGGCAGUGGCGCACCAGUCUCCAUGAAGGUUGAGCUCCGAUGGCCAACAGCCAUUUCCACCUUGUGGUCUACAACUCUUCAUCCCGACUGCAUGGAGGUUGGUCUCUCUCUUCAGCUGGAUUUAGGCCACCAUCUGAGCCCCCGGGGUACGUUUUGUCUGACCCUGGCGCCAUUCGAACGGUUCUUCUACAGCAUCAGUUCUCUUUCCUGCCACCAUGUGAAGAAGGACAUGUUUGCUUCCCCUUCUGCCAUGAAUGGACAGGGUCCUGCUGUGUUGCCCAGGCUGGCCUUGAACUCCUGGCUUCAAACAGUCUUCCCACUUGGGCUCCCAAAGUGCUGGGAUUAAAGGGGCGAGUUACAGCACCAGGACCUGAAAUUAGAGACAGGGUUUCACCGUGUUAGCCAGGAUGGUCUCCAUCUUCUGACCUCGUGAUCCGCCUGCCUCGGCCUCCCAAAGUGCUGGGAUUACCGGCGUGAGCCAGCAUCACCCCCCAGCAAAAGUGACACCCCUGCUCCCCAUUCACCCUCCGCUAUCAGUAAAAGCUUCCUCAGACCUCACCAGAAGCUGGACAGAUAGAUGCUGGUGCCAAGCUUGUACAGACUGCAGAACCAUGGGCCAAAUAAACCUCUUUUCUUUAUAAAUUG